CCUACGGGAGGCAGCAGUGGGGAAUAUUGCACAAUGGGGGAAACCCUGAUGCAGCGACGCCGCGUGAGUGAAGAAGUAAUUCGUUAUGUAAAGCUCUAUCAGCAGGGACGAAAAUGACGGUACCUGAGUAAGAAGCCCCGGCUAACUACGUGCCAGCAGCCGCGGUCAUACGUAGGGGGCAAGCGUUAUCCGGAUUUACUGGGUGUAAAGGGAGCGUAGACGGCAGUGCAAGUCUGGAGUGAAAGGCGGGGGCUCAACCCGCGGACUGCACUGGAAACUGUACGGAUGGAGUGCAGGAGAGGUAAGUGGAAUUCCUGGUGUAGCGGUGAAAUGCGUAGAUAUUAGGAGGAACACCAGUGGCGAAGGCGGCUUACUGGACUGUAACUGACGUUGAGGCUCGAAAGCGUGGGGAGCAAACAGGAUUAGAUACCCUUGUAGUC
Molecule: ribosomal RNA, 440 nt
Filed under: uncultured bacterium
Lineage: Bacteria
Description: partial 16S ribosomal RNA
Rfam family: Bacterial small subunit ribosomal RNA
Source: RNAcentral